RNAcentral lists this ribosomal RNA (253 nucleotides) under uncultured bacterium. RNAcentral describes it as "partial 16S ribosomal RNA". It matches the Rfam family "Bacterial small subunit ribosomal RNA", at positions 524 to 776 of the family's 1533-position model. The record is from RNAcentral.
GACGAACCGAGCGAACGUUAUUCGGAAUCACUGGGCUUAAAGGGCGCGUAGGCGGGCCGUCAAGUCAGGGGUGAAAGCCCCCAGCUCAACUGGGGAAGUGCCUCUGAUACUGGUGGCCUCGAGGGAGGUAGGGGCGUGCGGAACUUCCGGUGGAGCGGUGAAAUGCGUAGAUAUCGGAAGGAACACCGGUGGCGAAAGCGGCGCGCUGGACCUCUUCUGACGCUGAGGCGCGAAAGCCAGGGGAGCGAACGGG